GGCUCCGUAGCUUAGCAGGUGGAGCGUCCGGCUGUUAACCGGAAGGUCGGCAGUUCGAGUCUGCCCGGAGCCG
Molecule: transfer RNA, 73 nt
Filed under: archaeon
Lineage: Archaea
Description: tRNA-Asn
Rfam family: tRNA
About the family: Transfer RNA (tRNA) molecules are approximately 80 nucleotides in length. Their secondary structure includes four short double-helical elements and three loops (D, anti-codon, and T loops). Further hydrogen bonds mediate the characteristic L-shaped molecular structure. tRNAs have two regions of fundamental functional importance: the anti-codon, which is responsible for specific mRNA codon recognition, and the 3' end, to which the tRNAs corresponding amino acid is attached (by aminoacyl-tRNA synthetases). tRNAs cope with the degeneracy of the genetic code in two manners: having more than one tRNA (with a specific anti-codon) for a particular amino acid; and 'wobble' base-pairing, i.e. permitting non-standard base-pairing at the 3rd anti-codon position.
Source: RNAcentral